RNAcentral lists this unclassified non-coding RNA (531 nucleotides) under Hevea brasiliensis (rubber tree). The record is from RNAcentral. Lineage: Eukaryota; Viridiplantae; Streptophyta; Magnoliopsida; Malpighiales; Euphorbiaceae.
CUCUUUUUCAUUCCGCGUUGCCGUUCCAGAAACCCAAUCCAUAGAACCCACUAGACCCAGCUCACUCUUUCAUACCAUCACUCAGCUACACAUGGUUUUUCUCCACCUGCGUAGUACCAUCACACCAUUCUCUCCUCAGACCUCACUUCCAAAAAACGAUAAACCCAUCUUGCGAUAGACCCACGACAAACCCAUCUCAAUAACUCACCUCUACGACAGUCCCAUCUUGCAAGCCUCACUUCGCGACAAACACCAGAGUCUCCGUCUAGACUCGCGCACCACUAUAACUGCUCACAGACCUUAUUGUCCCUAAUCUCUCCUCUCUUCGUCCAGAUCAGUCUCCAAACAGCCAAAACCUCACGAGCCUCAUCUGUAAACAGAGCCAACCCCAUGAAUAUCAAUCCCCAAGCACUACCAUCCACCAUGCAAUUGAGUUGCCUCCAAUGGGUCAUCAAAUUGCAACUUCAAAGCCAGAAUAUUUAGCUGUGACAUUUGGUUUGUUCUUGACAAGGAAGGUGUCACUAGUGCGAG